GGUUCUGUAGUGUAGUGGUUAGCACGCCUGCCUCAGAAGCAGAAUGUCCUGGGUUUGAUUCCCAGAAGAACCA
Cynoglossus semilaevis (tongue sole) is the source of this 73-nucleotide non-coding RNA. Lineage: Eukaryota; Metazoa; Chordata; Actinopteri; Pleuronectiformes; Cynoglossidae. The record is from the annotation of a RefSeq genome assembly.